CGCAACUGCCGGCACGCUGGUGCCUGUGAGAACAGGUGAAAAGGGAAUGUGCCAGCCCGGGCAACCGGGUCAAGCACAGCCGCCCCCGCGACCGUGACCGGAGAGGUCGCCCAAAGCCACUGGCAUCGUGCCGGGAAGGAUGGGCAACCGCAGGAGAGGCCGAAAGGCGCUCUGAAAUCCGCAAGCCGGGAGACCUGCCAGCGUAAGACGACUUGC
This 216-nucleotide non-coding RNA is filed under the name Salipiger abyssi. Lineage: Bacteria; Pseudomonadati; Pseudomonadota; Alphaproteobacteria; Rhodobacterales; Roseobacteraceae. The record is from RNAcentral.